AGAUUGAACGCUGGCGGCAUGCCUUACACAUGCAAGUCGAACGGCAGCACGGGAGCAAUCCUGGUGGCGAGUGGCGAACGGGUGAGUAAUACAUCGGAACGUGCCCAAUCGUGGGGGAUAACGCAGCGAAAGCUGUGCUAAUACCGCAUACGCCCUUCGGGGGAAAGCCGGGGAUCGCAAGACCUGGCGCGGAUAGAUGAGCCGAUGUCGGAUUAGCUAGUUGGUGAGGUAAUGGCUCACCAAGGCGACGAUCCGUAGCUGGUCUGAGAGGAUGAUCAGCCACACUGGAACUGAGACACGGUCCAGACUCCUAGGGAGCAGCAGUGGGAAUAUUGGACAAUGGCGCAAGCCUGAUCCAGCCAUACCGCGGU
This 371-nucleotide ribosomal RNA is filed under the name uncultured soil bacterium. RNAcentral's name for it is "bacterial SSU rRNA". It matches the Rfam family "Bacterial small subunit ribosomal RNA", at positions 26 to 403 of the family's 1533-position model. The record is from RNAcentral.